UACGUAGGGUGCGAGCGUUGUCCGGAAUUAUUGGGCGUAAAGGGCUCGUAGGCGGUUUGUCGCGUCGGGAGUGAAAACUCAGGGCUCAACCCUGUGCGUGCUUCCGAUACGGGCAGACUAGAGGUAUGCAGGGGAGAACGGAAUUCCUGGUGUAGCGGUGGAAUGCGCAGAUAUCAGGAGGAACACCGGUGGCGAAGGCGGUUCUCUGGGCAUUACCUGACGCUGAGGAGCGAAAGCAUGGGGAGCGAACAGG
Molecule: ribosomal RNA, 253 nt
Filed under: uncultured bacterium
Lineage: Bacteria
Description: partial 16S ribosomal RNA
Rfam family: Bacterial small subunit ribosomal RNA
Source: RNAcentral